This 350-nucleotide unclassified non-coding RNA is filed under the name Hevea brasiliensis (rubber tree). The record is from RNAcentral. Lineage: Eukaryota; Viridiplantae; Streptophyta; Magnoliopsida; Malpighiales; Euphorbiaceae.
UUUUUUUUUUCCCUUAAUAUAUUUGAGCAACAUUGUUUUGGAUUGUGAAGGUUUGAUGUAGAUUGAGGGCUACAAUGACUAAUAUUAAAUUCUAUUCAAGUGAUGGUAUGGACCAAUAAUUUGGUUGUCUAGUUCUGUUUAUGCGAUGUCUCUAUUUUGAGCUCAACCCUUGGAAUUGUUUAUCUCAAUUCUCAUUCAUAAUAACAUCUUUUUGAAGCAAAAGUGUUCAAUUUCCAUUAGUUUGUUGGAUAAUUGUUUUAUUUUUGGGUUUCCUUUUUAUGCAAGUUUGAGCUGAUUACAAAACUUCCCUUUUGUAAAUUAGAUGUAUGAUUUUUUUUUUCUUAUGGUGG